AUUGAACGCUGGCGGCAGGCCUAACACAUGCAAGUCGAGCGGAUGAAGGGAGCUUGCUCCUGGAUUCAGCGGCGGACGGGUGAGUAAUGCCUAGGAAUCUGCCUGGUAGUGGGGGAUAACGUCCGGAAACGGGCGCUAAUACCGCAUACGUCCUGAGGGAGAAAGUGGGGGAUCUUCGGACCUCACGCUAUCAGAUGAGCCUAGUUCGGAUUAGCUAGUUGGUGGGGUAAAGGCCUACCAAGGCGACGAUCCGUAACUGGUCUGAGAGGAUGAUCAGUCACACUGGAACUGAGACACGGUCCAGACUCCUACGGGAGGCAGCAGUGGGGAAUAUUGGACAAUGGGCGAAAGCCUGAUCCAGCCAUGCCGCGUGUGUGAAGAAGGUCUUCGGAUUGUAAAGCACUUUAAGUUGGGAGGAAGGGCAGUAAGUUAAUACCUUGCUGUUUUGACGUUACCAACAGAAUAAGCCCCGGCUAACUUCGUG
Molecule: ribosomal RNA, 484 nt
Filed under: uncultured bacterium
Lineage: Bacteria
Description: partial 16S ribosomal RNA
Rfam family: Bacterial small subunit ribosomal RNA
Source: RNAcentral